Pteronotus mesoamericanus is the source of this 650-nucleotide RNA transcript. It is a transcript of the gene named negative regulator of P-body association, with no coding region annotated. The record is from RefSeq and is a predicted model, not a curated record. Lineage: Eukaryota; Metazoa; Chordata; Mammalia; Chiroptera; Mormoopidae. The transcript has 3 exons.
CCGCCGCCAUCUCAGGUCUCUUUGCCUCGGUAGGGCCCACCAGAGAAAGCUGACGCGUAGGUCCUAUAAUCCUUAUGGGGGACCAACCUUGCACCUCUGGGAGAUCCACACUCCCUCCUGGAAACACGCGGGAAACAAAGCCUCCAAAAAAGCGCUGUCUCCUAGCUCCACGGUGGGAUUAUCCAGAAGGGACCCCCAACGGAGGUAGUACCCCUCUCCCAUCCGCACCUCCUCCUCCAUCACCCGGCCUGAAGUCGCACCCUCCUCCUCCGGAGAAGUAGUAGAAUAUACUUCUCCCACCCUAAACCAGUCUUUGAGGGAUUUCAGUAUGACUCCAUUUUCUUGGUGCAGUCACAAAAUAGUUUAUUCAGUGAAGACAACGAAGAUUAUUGACAAUGCUGACCUGCUUUUCCUGUUGUCCUGCACUGGGAAGUUGUGAUUUUUAAGUAUUAUGAUAUAAUCAGUGUAGUACCAUUUCCUGAUUUGGAUGAAUUCUGGGACAUGACCAAGAUCAGGCUAUAUGUAGACCUCUAAGAUUGAAGACCAUGGCCUGGAUCGUGGUGAACUCACCAAAGCAAACAAUGCCUGUGAGAUGGCCCUGCAGCAGCCUAUCAGUGUUCUCUUUUGGUGACACCCAGACCUUACUAUAU